GCGCAUCACGCGGGAGAGAACUCCCCCACUCGGAGUCGCCGAAGGCGCAACCCCCGGAACCGCUCAGGCAAAAGGACCGCGUGCAAAGU
RNAcentral lists this non-coding RNA (89 nucleotides) under Thauera terpenica. Its description in RNAcentral is "Glycine sequence". It matches the Rfam family "Glycine riboswitch aptamer". Rfam says of the family: This family represents the bacterial glycine riboswitch. Glycine riboswitches usually consist of two metabolite-binding aptamers domains with similar structures in tandem. RNAcentral also lists the same sequence under 1 other name. Lineage: Bacteria; Pseudomonadati; Pseudomonadota; Betaproteobacteria; Rhodocyclales; Zoogloeaceae. The record is from RNAcentral.